UGGGGAAUAUUGCACAAUGGGCGCAAGCCUGAUGCAGCCAUGCCGCGUGUGUGAAGAAGGCCUUCGGGUUGUAAAGCACUUUCAGCGGGGAGGAAGGCGUUAAGGUUAAUAACCUUGGCGAUUGACGUUACCCGCGGAAGAAGCACCGGCUAACUCCGUGCCAGCAGCCGCGGUAAUACGGAGGGUGCAAGCGUUAAUCGGAAUUACUGGGCGUAAAGCGCACGCAGGCGGUCUGUCAAGUCGGAUGUGAAAUCCCCGGGCUCAACCUGGGAACUGCAUUGGAAAGUGGCAGGCUUGAGUCUUGUAGAGGAGGGUAGAAUUCCAGGUGUAGCGGUGAAAUGCGUAGAUAUCUGGAGGAAUAACGGUGGCGAAGGCGGCCCCCUGGACAAAGACUGACGCUCAGGUGCGAAAGAGUGGGGAGCAAACAGG
This 429-nucleotide ribosomal RNA is filed under the name Chloroflexota bacterium. RNAcentral's name for it is "Chloroflexi bacterium partial 16S ribosomal RNA". It matches the Rfam family "Bacterial small subunit ribosomal RNA", at positions 355 to 776 of the family's 1533-position model. Lineage: Bacteria; Bacillati; Chloroflexota. The record is from RNAcentral.